Molecule: ribosomal RNA, 253 nt
Filed under: uncultured bacterium
Lineage: Bacteria
Description: partial 16S ribosomal RNA
Rfam family: Bacterial small subunit ribosomal RNA
Source: RNAcentral
UACGUAGGGUGCAAGCGUUGUCCGGAAUUAUUGGGCGUAAAGAGCUCGUAGGCGGUCUGUCGCGUCUGCUGUGAAAAUCCAGGGCUCAACCCUGGACCUGCGGUGGGUACGGGCAGACUAGAGUGCGGUAGGGGAGAUCGGAAUUCCUGGUGUAGCGGUGAAAUGCGCAGAUAUCAGGAGGAACACCGGUGGCGAAGGCGGAUCUCUGGGCCGUAACUGACGCUGAGGAGCGAAAGCAUGGGGAGCGAACAGG